Molecule: microRNA precursor, 57 nt
Organism: Gallus gallus (chicken)
Lineage: Eukaryota; Metazoa; Chordata; Aves; Galliformes; Phasianidae
Source: Ensembl
CUCAUCCUCCAUGGUCUCCAGCAACGCCCUCAGGAACUGUUGUAGAACAGGAGAAGC